AAUCAACGCUGGCGGCGUGCCUCAGACAUGCAAGUCGAACGAUUAAACUUCUCUUCGGAGAAGAUAUAAAGUGGCGCACGGGUGAGUAACACGUAGGUAAUGUACCUUUGGGUGGGGAAUAACUUAGGGAAACUUAAGCUAAUACCGCAUAAUGCAGCGGCUCCUUCGGGAGACAGUUGUUAAAGAUUUAUCGCCUAAAGAGCAGCCUGCGGCAGAUUAGCUAGUUGGUAAGGUAACGGCUACCAAGGCUACGAUCUGUAUCCGACCUGAGAGGGUGGUCGGACACACUGACACUGAAUAACGGGUCAGACUCCUACGGGAGGCAGCAGUCGGGAAUUUUGGGCAAUGGGCGAAAGCCUGACCCAGCAACGCCGCGUGAAGGAUGAAGUCUCUCGGGAUGUAAACUUCGAAAGAAUAGGAAGAAUAAAUGACGGUACUAUUUAUAAGGUCCGG
Molecule: ribosomal RNA, 453 nt
Filed under: uncultured bacterium
Lineage: Bacteria
Description: bacterial SSU rRNA
Rfam family: Bacterial small subunit ribosomal RNA
Source: RNAcentral